AUUGAACGCUGGCGGCAGGCUUAACACAUGCAAGUCGAGCGGGGUGAUGGUGCUUGCACUAUCACUUAGCGGCGGACGGGUGAGUAAUGCUUAGGCAUCUGCCUAUUAGUGGGGGACAACAUCUCGAAAGGGAUGCUAAUACCGCAUACGUCCUACGGGAGAAAGCAGGGGAUCACUUGUGACCUUGCGCUACUAGAUGAGCCUAAGCCGGAUUAGCUAGUUGGUGGGGUAAAGGCCUACCAAGGCGACGAUCUGUAGCGGGUCUGAGAGGAUGAUCCGCCACACUGGGACUGAGACACGGCCCAGACUCCUACGGGAGGCAGCAGUGGGGAAUAUUGGACAAUGGGGGGAACCCUGAUCCAGCCAUGCCGCGUGUGUGAAGAAGGCCUUAUGGUUGUAAAGCACUUUAAGCGAGGAGGAGGCUCUUUUGGUUAAUACCCAAGAUGAGUGGACGUUACUCGCAGAAUAAGCACCGGCUAACUCUGUGCCAGCAGCCGCAGUAA
RNAcentral lists this ribosomal RNA (503 nucleotides) under uncultured bacterium. RNAcentral describes it as "partial 16S ribosomal RNA". It matches the Rfam family "Bacterial small subunit ribosomal RNA", at positions 30 to 523 of the family's 1533-position model. The record is from RNAcentral.